Long non-coding RNA from Portunus trituberculatus (swimming crab), 504 nucleotides. RefSeq lists it as uncharacterized. The transcript has 2 exons. The record is from RefSeq and is a predicted model, not a curated record. Lineage: Eukaryota; Metazoa; Arthropoda; Malacostraca; Decapoda; Portunidae.
CUUCCUUCUGACCCACACACACUCCUGCCCUUCGCUUCCAUGAGGGCCUGCCGGGUCUUACCAGCGCAUAUUCGACCUGCAGCGUCUGGCGUACCUGGCCUACGCCGUGCCUUGGUUCGGAUACCUGUGACCGAACCCGGUACCUGCUAGAAUCCUCUUGCACGUAUGGAUUCCUCUUUCUAGUACCGUGGUUUCUGCCUGCUGCCGCUAGUGGUCACCUUAUCUACGCCCCAUGGAGCUGAGUCGUCCCGGUUGUGCCCACGAUGGACGUAUGGCCUGUCCUGUGUGAACGCCAGCUACCUCUCGGCGAGGCUAUAAGGACCCUAUCUAUGUCUUCUGCCACCACCUGCUCACAGGAGUGUCGCGCUGUCGAGGCUUACUCCCGCACUUCAUCUCAUCCAUUGUUUGUGUGUGAAUGACUUGUGUGAAUGAGGGUUGUGUGAAAGUUGGGGUGUGAGUGUUUUGCUUAGGUGUUGUUUGUGAAAUAUAUUGAUUGUUAUUUUC